AGAGUUUGAUCAUGGCUCAGAAUCAACGCUGGCGGCGUGCCUAACACAUGCAAGUCGAACGCGAAAGUCCCGCAAGGGAUAAGUAGAGUGGCAAACGGGUGAGUAACACGUGGGUGACCUGCCUUCAAGUGGGGGAUAACGUCCCGAAAGGGACGCUAAUACCGCAUAACAUGCCGCCUUUUAACAGGCGGACAUCAAAGCCGGGGAUCGCAGGACCUGGCGCUAGAAGAGGGGCCCGCGCCUGAUUAGCUAGUUGGUGGGGUAAUGGCUCACCAAGGCGACGAUCAGUAGCCGGCCUGAGAGGGCGGACGGCCACACUGGGACUGAGACACGGCCCAGACUCCUACGGGAGGCAGCAGUGGGGAAUUGUUCGCAAUGGGCGCAAGCCUGACGACGCAACGCCGCGUGGAGGAUGAAGACCUUCGGGUCGUAAACUCCUUUCGAUCGAGACGAAUGGCCUUCGGGUUAAUAACUCGGAGGAAUGACGGUACCGAGAGAAGAAGCCCCGGCUAACUCCGUGCCAGCAGCCGCGGUAAUACGGGGGGGGCAAGCGUUGUUCGGAAUUACUGGGCGUAAAGGGCUCGUAGGUGGCCAACUAAGUCAGACGUGAAAUCCCUCGGCUUAACCGGGGAACUGCGUCUGAUACUGGAUGGCUUGAGUUUGGGAGAGGGACGCGGAAUUCCAGGUGUAGCGGUGAAAUGCGUAGAUAUCUGGAGGAACACCGGUGGCGAAGGCGGCGUCCUGGACCAAUACUGACACUGAGGAGCGAAAGCCAGGGGAGCAAACGGGAUUAGAUACCCCGGUAGUCCU
RNAcentral lists this ribosomal RNA (810 nucleotides) under uncultured bacterium. RNAcentral's name for it is "bacterial SSU rRNA". It matches the Rfam family "Bacterial small subunit ribosomal RNA", at positions 8 to 797 of the family's 1533-position model. The record is from RNAcentral.